UUACUACAUAAAGGGGAGUAGCAAAUUAAUUUAACUAUUCGUCAUUACGGCAAUUAAAGCCCGGAUAGUUACUCCAAAGAGAGAUUGCAAGACCUUUGUUCUACAG
Molecule: unclassified non-coding RNA, 106 nt
Filed under: Clostridium tetani 12124569
Lineage: Bacteria; Bacillati; Bacillota; Clostridia; Eubacteriales; Clostridiaceae
Description: yybP-ykoY
Source: RNAcentral